This 1288-nucleotide long non-coding RNA is filed under the name Malus domestica (apple). RNAcentral describes it as "long non-coding RNA (MDOM_LNC011175)". Lineage: Eukaryota; Viridiplantae; Streptophyta; Magnoliopsida; Rosales; Rosaceae. The record is from RNAcentral.
UAGCCAAGAGGGGUUUAGCCACUCAUAUUCACAACAAAACAAAAGAAAAUGAAUUUAAACAUUCGAAACAAAAGAAAGAAAACACCUAAACGCUCCAAUGUUCCAAGUUGGACAGCAAGCACGUCCAAGCACUUUCCUUCCCUUCCUUUGCUAUGGCACAAGGUGUUGGUGAGUGUUUGAAGGUUUGUUUGUAUGGAGGAAUGGAUGUGUUUGGAUGAAGGUUGUAUUGAAUGUGGCGAAGAGUGGAGAAUUGUGUAGAUGAUGUGUGUGUGUGUUUUGGAUUGAUCUAUCUCUCUUAUGGUGAAAGGUGGAUGGAUGUAUUUAUAGGCUAGGGAGAGGAUGUAAUGGGUGGUGGUAAUGAGUGGAUGUAAUGGUAGGUGAAUGUGUUGGGUGGUUGAAAUGAGUGGAUGUAGUGGUAGGUGAAUGUGUUGGGUGGUUAUAAUGAGUGGAUGUGUUGGGUGAAAUGAGUGGAUGUAGUGGUAGGUGAAUGUGUUGGGUGAAAUGAGUGGAUGUAGUGGUAGGUGAAUGGAUGUGUUGGGUGAAAUGAGUGGAUGUAGUGGUAGGUGAAUGUGUUGGGUGAAAUGAGUGGAUGUAGUGGUAGGUGAAUGUGUUGGGUGGUUGUAAUGAGUGGAUGUAGUGGUAGGUGAAUGGAUGUGUUGGGUGAAAUGAGUGGAUGUAGUGGUAGGUGAAUGUGUUGGGUGAAAUGAGUGUGCUAAAAUGGUUAUUUAUAGGGAAAGGAUGAUGCACAAACUUCAAAUUUCGUCCAUUCCUUUUGCUCCAAGCAUAUGUUAUCCAUUCCAUGCUAAAAAAAUGCUCCAAAAUGAACUUCUUUGCCACAUUAACUCUUUGGACCUACAAACACAAGAAAAUAGCUUAAAAUACUAAAAUAAUUACGAACUAACAACAUAAAUGCCAAGAAACAAGCUAACUAAGCCGCAUAAAUAUGCUCCUAUCAAAAAGCAGCACACCAUUCAUUCCACCUACCAAAAGACGAGUGGUACAACUUGUACAUGUGAACUCCUAGCAUUCACAAAUAAUCAAAAACCCUCAAGCUUGACAACUCAACUAGGGGAGAACUUAUGCCCAACAAGAGUUAUAGUCACCAACAAAGUCUUAUUGCAUGCCAACAACAACUUCAGUGCAUGGCAUACGAAGAUCAAACUAUUCAGCCCCCUUGCAUCUGCUUCAGACAUUUCUCCUCUGUAACAAUGCAAACACUAUAACUCGUAGAAAGCUUCACACACUCUUGAUCAAGACAGUGUGAAGCAAAACCAAUUUAUGGUGCCAA